AUUGAACGCUGGCGGCAUGCUUUACACAUGCAAGUCGAACGGCAGCACGGGAGCUUGCUCCUGGUGGCGAGUGGCGAACGGGUGAGUAAUGCAUCGGAACGUACCCAGUAGUGGGGGAUAGCCCGGCGAAAGCCGGAUUAAUACCGCAUAUUUCCUGAGGGAGAAAGCGGGGGGACCUUCGGGCCUCGCGCUACUGGAGCGGCUGAUGUCGGAUUAGCUAGUUGGUGAGGUAAAGGCUCACCAAGGCGACGAUCCGUAGCUGGUCUGAGAGGAUGAUCAGCCACACUGGGACUGAGACACGGCCCAGACUCCUACGGGAGGCAGCAGUGGGGAAUUUUGGACAAUGGGGGCAACCCUGAUCCAGCCAUGCCGCGUGAGUGAAGAAGGCCUCGGUUGUAAGACUCUUUCUAGGUGGAAGAAAGUACACUACCCGAACUAC
Molecule: ribosomal RNA, 439 nt
Filed under: uncultured bacterium
Lineage: Bacteria
Description: bacterial SSU rRNA
Rfam family: Bacterial small subunit ribosomal RNA
Source: RNAcentral